UCCCAGACUCCUACGGGAGGCAGCAGUGGGGAAUAUUGCACAAUGGGGGAAACCCUGAUGCAGCGACGCCGCGUGAGUGAAGAAGUAUUUCGGUAUGUAAAGCUCUAUCAGCAGGGAAGAAAAUGACGGUACCUGACUAAGAAGCCCCGGCUAACUACGUGCCAGCAGCCGCGGUAAUACGUAGGGGGCAAGCGUUAUCCGGAUUUACUGGGUGUAAAGGGAGCGUAGACGGCAUGGCAAGUCAGAUGUGAAAGCCCGGGGCUCAACCCCGGGACUGCAUUUGAAACUGUGCUUCUUGAGUGCUGGAGAGGCAGACGGAAUUCCUAGUGUAGCGGUGAAAUGCGUAGAUAUUAGGAGGAACACCAGUGGCGAAGGCGGUCUGCUGGACAGUAACUGACGGUGAGGCGCGAAAGCGUGGGGAGCAAACAGGAUUAGAUACCCCAGUA
This 446-nucleotide ribosomal RNA is filed under the name uncultured bacterium. RNAcentral's name for it is "bacterial SSU rRNA". It matches the Rfam family "Bacterial small subunit ribosomal RNA", at positions 329 to 792 of the family's 1533-position model. The record is from RNAcentral.